This 1604-nucleotide long non-coding RNA is filed under the name Homo sapiens (human). RNAcentral's name for it is "long independently transcribed non-coding RNA 210 (LINC00210)". The record is from RNAcentral. Lineage: Eukaryota; Metazoa; Chordata; Mammalia; Primates; Hominidae.
CUGAGAUGGCUACUGAGUGACUAACAGAUUUUUCCUUUUGCAUUGUGAUGAUGUGUCCUGACAAACAACAGGAUUCCAUUAUUAAAUAGUGAUGCUACCCAAAUCCAGGCUUGUCCUGUGCUUGAUGGCUGCUGCUAUUGCUCCACAGAGAUGCCUCUUCCCAACCAGAAACUGUGUUAACCGACUCUCACACUGACUUCCAAUCCUCACCACAACCUUGCGAGGUCGGUAUUAUGACCACUACUUUACAGGCCCUUCUGGUAUGCACAGCUAACAGUCUAGUGUGCCAAGACUGUGCCAGCCUGGAGAAACUUCGUGGGCUAUCUCAGGCUCCAUCUAGCCUUCGACACUCAGGCUUAUAAGGGUGAAGGAGAAACUGAGGCACAAUAUCAUGAGUUCACAUGGAAAAAUCAUGAGUACACAUGGAAAAAAGGUAGAAUUUUUGACGUGAAUUAUCUCAGUUUAUAUAUACCUUUUAAAACUUUUUCCUAUGUUUUCUCCUAUUUACACACCGUCUGCCCUGUGGGCUGUGGUGCACAUUGACAUGUGUUAUUGCAUUGUCGCUAUCCUAUUUUUCCAGGUAAGGAUGGUGAAACUCGGAAAGGUUAAGUCACUCAGACCCAGCAUGCAGUGUCGUUUCCCUCUGCCCGCUGCCUGUGCUACACAUUCUGGGCGCUGUUGCUGAGCUCCGCUCAAUGGCUUUACGCCUCCCUUUCAGGGAAAAGCAGCUGCACUGAAGUUCUGUAAAUGCUGUAAUAGAAGUUGUUAACCACUUCCACAUGAUUUUUAAAGUAAAUGUCACACUGCAUUGUAACAGUGAGCUAACAACACGUUAGCGGGUUCUCAUUCUCAUUUAAUUCACUUUUCCAAUACGGAAGUUACUGUGAUGCCUGCAAGGACGGCCACGUUCAGUGAAUUACUUGGCAGCUGGGCCAUUUAUUUCUUCACUUCUCCCUUGCUGCCUCCCUCGGUGGUUUUUGAAGUUUAGUUAUUGCUAUGCUUCCUCUCAUGCUGCUAUCCGAGGGAGAAUGGAACUGUUGGUUUCAGCAGCAGUCAGAUCCUCACCAUUCCAGCCUGGCUGCGGAAGCGCCCACUAGUUCCCUUUGUCUGCUGCUCUGCCCAGAGCUGGAAGCAUAGGCUGAGCGGCUGCUGGCUGUCAGCUUGCAGCGUCUGAUAUUGUUAGGAGACGAAUUAUGCCCCUCCUGCCCCCCCACUGCCCUCAAUUUGUAUGUUGAAAUCCUAAUCUCUAGUACCUCAGAAUGUGAUCUUAUUUGGAAACAGGUCCAUUGAAGAGGUAGUUAGUUAAGUGGAGGUCAUAUUGGAGUAGGCUGAGUGAGCCGCUAAUCCAACAUGACUGGUGUCCUUAUAAAAAGGGACAAUGUGGAUGCAGAGACACACACAGGGAGAAUACCAUGUGAAGACUGGAGUUAUUCAGCCACAACUAAGGCAUUUCCAGAAGCCAGGAGAGAGGCUUGGAACAGAUCCUUCCCUAGAGCCUUCAGAGGGUGUGUGGCCCCGCUGACACUGACCUCAGACUUCCAGCCUCCAGAGGUGUGAGAUGAUAAAUUUCUGUUGCUUAAAUGAAAAAAAAAAAAAAAAAAAAA